Molecule: ribosomal RNA, 391 nt
Filed under: uncultured bacterium
Lineage: Bacteria
Description: bacterial SSU rRNA
Rfam family: Bacterial small subunit ribosomal RNA
Source: RNAcentral
GACGAACGCUGGCGGCGUGCUUAACACAUGCAAGUCGAGCGGUAAGGCCCUUUCGGGGUACACGAGCGGCGAACGGGUGAGUAACACGUGGGUGACCUGCCCUCACGCUCUGGGAUAAGCCUGGGAAACCGGGUCUAAUACCGGAUAUGACUCCAUGACGCAUGUUGUGGGGUGGAAAGCCUUGUGCGGCUGAGGAUGGGCCCGCGGCCUAUCAGCUUGUUGGUGGGGUGANGGCCUACCAAGGCGACGACGGGUAGCCGGCCUGAGAGGGCGACCGGCCACACUGGGACUGAGACACGGCCCAGACUCCUACGGGAGGCAGCAGUGGGGAAUCUUGCGCAAUGGGCGAAAGCCUGACGCAGCGACGCCGCGUGAGGGAUGACGGCCUCGG